UUCCGGUUGAUCCCGCCGGACCUGACUGCUAUCGGAUUGAUACUAAGCCAUGUGAGUCUUUGCAGUAAUGCAAGGCGGACGGCUCAGUAACACGUAGUCAAUCUAACCUAUGGACGGGAAUAAUCUCGGGAAACUGAGAAUAAUACCUGAUAGAUCAUUAUGCCUGGAACGGUUAAUGGUUGAAAUGAAUUUCGCCAUAGGAUGGGACUGCGGCCUAUCAGCUUGUUGGUGAGGUAAAGGCCCACCAAGGCUAUUACAGGUACGGGCUCUGAGAGGAGAAGCCCGGAGAUGGGUACUGAGACACGGACCCAGGUCCUAUGGGGCGCAGCAGGCGAGAAAACUUUGCAAUGUGCGAAAGCACGACAAGGUUAAUCCGAGUGUUUCCUGCUAAAGGAAUCUUUUGUCAGUCAUAAAACCACUAUCGAAUAAGGGGUGGGCAAGUUCUGGUGUCAGCCGCCGCGGUAAAACCAGCACCUCAAGUGGUCAGGAGGUUUAUUGGGCCUAAAGCAUCCGUAGCCUGAUCUAUAAGUUUCCGGUUAAAUCCAUAUGCUCAACAUUUGGGCUGCCGGAAAAACUGUAUAUCUAGGGAGUGGGAGAGGUAGACGGUACUCGGUAGGAAGGGGUAAAAUCCUUUGAUCUAUUGAUGACCACCUGUGGCGAAGGCGGUCUACCAGAACACGUUCGACGGUGAGGGAUGAAAGCUGGGGGAGCAAACCGGAUUAGAUACCCGGGUAGUCCCAGCUGUAAACGAUGCAGACUCAGUGAUGCAUUGGCUUGUGCCCAUGCAGUGCCGCAGGCAG
This 800-nucleotide ribosomal RNA is filed under the name uncultured crenarchaeote. RNAcentral's name for it is "bacterial SSU rRNA". It matches the Rfam family "Archaeal small subunit ribosomal RNA", at positions 1 to 810 of the family's 1478-position model. The record is from RNAcentral. Lineage: Archaea; Thermoproteati; Thermoproteota.